CCCUUAGACGUUCUGGGCCGCACGCGCGCUACACUGAACAGUUCAACAAGUCUUAACCUUGGCCGAUAGGUCUGGGUAAUCUUUGAACGCUGUUCGUGAUUGGGAUAGACCUUUGCAAUUAUGGGUCUUCAACGAGGAAUUCCUAGUAAACGCAAGUCAUCAGCUUGCAUUGAUUACGUCCCUGCCCUUUGUACACACCGCCCGUCGCACCUACCGAUUGAAUGGUCCGGUGAAGCCUCCGGAUUGGACGUGCUGACCCUGUCAGCCGGCCGAGAAGUUGGCUAAAUCUUACCAUUUAGAGGAAGGUGAAGUCGUAACA
RNAcentral lists this ribosomal RNA (319 nucleotides) under uncultured eukaryote. RNAcentral describes it as "partial 18S ribosomal RNA". It matches the Rfam family "Eukaryotic small subunit ribosomal RNA", at positions 1470 to 1796 of the family's 1831-position model. The record is from RNAcentral.